Molecule: ribosomal RNA, 1435 nt
Filed under: Chelatococcus sp. TKE5A
Lineage: Bacteria; Pseudomonadati; Pseudomonadota; Alphaproteobacteria; Hyphomicrobiales; Chelatococcaceae
Description: 16S ribosomal RNA
Rfam family: Bacterial small subunit ribosomal RNA
Source: RNAcentral
AGAGUUUGAUCCAUGGCUCAGAACGAACGCUGGCGGCAGGCUUAACACAUGCAAGUCGAACGCAUCCUUCGGGGUGAGUGGCACACGGGUGAGUAACGCGUGGGAAUGUGCCCUUCAGUUCGGGAUAACCCAGGGAAAGGAGGGCUAAUACCGUAUACGUUCGGGAGCCGAAAGAUUUAUCGCCCAAGGAUGGGCCCGCGUCGGAUUAGCUAGUUGGUGGGGUAAUGGCCCACCAAGGCGACGAUCAGUAGCUGGUCUGAGAGGAUGAUCAGCCACAUUGGGACUGAGACACGGCCCAAACUCCUACGGGAGGCAGCAGUGGGGAAUAUUGGACAAUGGGCGCAAGCCUGAUCCAGCCAUGCCGCGUGAGUGAUGAAGGCCUUAGGGUUGUAAAGCUCUUUCGUCCGGGACGAUAAUGACGGUACCGGAAGAAUAAGCCCCGGCUAACUUCGUGCCAGCAGCCGCGGUAAUACGAAGGGGGCUAGCGUUGUUCGGAAUCACUGGGCGUAAAGGGCGCGUAGGCGGCUUUGUAAGUCAGAGGUGAAAGCCUGUGGCUCAACCCCAGAACUGCCUUCAAUACUGCAUGGCUUGAAACCCGAAGAGGUGAGUGGAACUGCGAGUGUAGAGGUGAAAUUCGUAGAUAUUCGCAAGAACACCAGUGGCGAAGGCGGCUUACUGGUCCAGUUCUGACGCUGAGGCGCGAAAGCGUGGGGAGCAAACAGGAUUAGAUACCCUGGUAGUCCACGCCGUAAACGAUGAAUGCUAGCCGUUCGGCCAACUUGCUGCUCAGUGGCGCAGCUAACGCUUUAACCAUUCCCCCGGGGGAAUACAGGCCCCAGAUUAAAACUCCAAAGAAUUGACGGGGGCCCCCCCAAGCGGUGGAACAUGGGGUUUAAUUCCAAACAACCCGCAAAAACUUACCCACCUUUUAAAUGUCCCGUAUGGGCAGUGGAAAAACUGUUCUUCCAGUUCCGCUGGGGUGAACACAAGGGCUGCAUGGGUGUCCUCCGCUCCUGGCCUGAAAAGUUGGGUUAAAUCCCCCAACGAAGGCAACCCUCCCCCCUAAUUGCCCUCCUUCAAUUGGGCACUCCUAGGGGACUGCCCGUGAAAAACCCAGAGGAAGGUGGGGAUGACGUCAAGUCCUCAUGGCCCUUACGGGCUGGGCUACACACGUGCUACAAUGGCGGUGACAAUGGGCAGCUAACCCGCGAGGGCGAGCCAAUCCCAAAAAGCCGUCUCAGUUCGGAUUGCACUCUGCAACUCGAGUGCAUGAAGGUGGAAUCGCUAGUAAUCGUGGAUCAGAACGCCACGGUGAAUACGUUCCCGGGGCUUGUACACACCGCCCGUCACACCAUGGGGAGUUGGUCUUACCCGAAGGGGCUGCGCCAACCGCAAGGAGGCAGGCGACCACGGUGGGGUUAACGACUGGGGUGAA